RNAcentral lists this small nuclear RNA (284 nucleotides) under Neogale vison (American mink). RNAcentral's name for it is "Neovison vison (American mink) 7SK RNA (ENSNVIG00000017646.1)". It matches the Rfam family "7SK RNA". From Rfam's summary of the family: 7SK was discovered as an abundant small nuclear RNA in the mid-70s but a possible function has only recently been suggested. Two independent studies have found that 7SK RNA binds the CDK9/cyclin T complex (known as elongation factor P-TEFb). P-TEFb activates transcription by phosphorylating the C-terminal domain of RNA polymerase II. Lineage: Eukaryota; Metazoa; Chordata; Mammalia; Carnivora; Mustelidae. The record is from Rfam by way of RNAcentral.
GGAUGUGAGCGCAAUUUGGCUGCUACAUCUAUCAUGUCACUGACCACCAGGGUUGAUUCAGCAUAUCCUGCUGGUUAGGCAAGUGUUCCUUCCUCCCUCAUCACUCCAAGUGUAUCCUUCCCGUAGCUGCAUGCUCAGUAGAAGAGAACAACCUUCCCUGGUAGAAGAGAAUGGUUCUUCGUUCGGUCAAGGGUACAUGAGUAGCUUCACCCCCCAAACCUGUUCUCAGGGUCUAUCAGGUAAGUGCAAAUUAAAACCAUAACAUCAGGGCACCUGGGUGGCUC